This 448-nucleotide ribosomal RNA is filed under the name uncultured candidate division MSBL5 bacterium. RNAcentral's name for it is "bacterial SSU rRNA". It matches the Rfam family "Bacterial small subunit ribosomal RNA", at positions 1043 to 1501 of the family's 1533-position model. The record is from RNAcentral.
GCAUGGCUGUCGUCAGCUCGUGUCGUGAGAUGUUGGGUUAAGUCCCGUAACGAGCGCAACCCUCGUCCUGUGUUGUAUUCUCACAGGAGACUGCCCCGCAAAACGGGGAGGAAGGUGGGGAUGACGUCAAGUCAGCAUGGCCCUUAAGCCCUGGGCAACACACACGCUACAAUGGGCGGUACAGAGGGAAGCUAAGGAGCAAUCCGGAGCAAAUCCCACAAACCCGUCCUCAGUUCGGAUUGGAGGCUGCAACUCGCCUCCAUGAAGUCGGAGUUGCUAGUAACCGCAGGUCAGCACACUGCGGUGAAUGCGUUCUCGGGCCUUGUACACACCGCCCGUCACGCCAUGGAAGCUGGCAACACCUGAAGUCGAUGUGCCAACCCGCUCUGCGGGAGGCAGUCGUCGAGGGUGGGGCUAGUGACUGGGGCGAAGUCGUAACAAGGUAACC